This 468-nucleotide ribosomal RNA is filed under the name uncultured bacterium. Its description in RNAcentral is "partial 16S ribosomal RNA". It matches the Rfam family "Bacterial small subunit ribosomal RNA", at positions 28 to 507 of the family's 1533-position model. The record is from RNAcentral.
GAUGAACGCUGGCGGCGUGCUUAACACAUGCAAGUCGAACGGAAAGGCCCAAGCUUGCUUGGGUACUCGAGUGGCGAACGGGUGAGUAACACGUGGGUGAUCUGCCCUGCACUUCGGGAUAAGCCUGGGAAACUGGGUCUAAUACCGGAUAGGACGAUGGUUUGGAUGCCAUUGUGGAAAGUUUUUUCGGUGUGGGAUGAGCUCGCGGCCUAUCAGUUUGUUGGUGGGGUAAUGGCCUACCAAGGCGUCGACGGGUAGCCGGCCUGAGAGGGUGUACGGCCACAUUGGGACUGAGAUACGGCCCAGACUCCUACGGGAGGCAGCAGUGGGGAAUAUUGCACAAUGGGCGCAAGCCUGAUGCAGCGACGCAGCGUGGGGGAUGACGGCCUUCGGGUUGUAAACUCCUUUCGCUAGGGACGAAGCGUUUUUGUGACGGUACCUGGAGAAGAAGCACCGGCUAACUACGUG